Molecule: ribosomal RNA, 253 nt
Filed under: uncultured bacterium
Lineage: Bacteria
Description: partial 16S ribosomal RNA
Rfam family: Bacterial small subunit ribosomal RNA
Source: RNAcentral
GACGAACCGAGCGAACGUUGUUCGGAAUCACUGGGCUUAAAGGGCGCGUAGGCGGGCUGCAAAGUCCGGGGUGAAAGCCCCCCGCUCAACGGGGGAACGGCCUCGGAUACUGGCGGUCUGGAGGCGGGUAGGGGCAAGCGGAACUGUGGGUGGAGCGGUGAAAUGCGUUGAGAUCCACAGGAACUCCGGUGGCGAAGGCGGCUUGCUGGACCCGAACUGACGCUGAGGCGCGAAAGCCAGGGGAGCGAACGGG